RNAcentral lists this ribosomal RNA (993 nucleotides) under Staphylococcus aureus. RNAcentral's name for it is "bacterial SSU rRNA". It matches the Rfam family "Bacterial small subunit ribosomal RNA", at positions 26 to 1000 of the family's 1533-position model. The record is from RNAcentral. Lineage: Bacteria; Bacillati; Bacillota; Bacilli; Caryophanales; Staphylococcaceae.
AGGAUGAACGCUGGCGGCGUGCCUAAUACAUGCAAGUCGAGCGAACGGACGAGAAGCUUGCUUCUCUGAUGUUAGCGGCGGACGGGUGAGUAACACGUGGAUAACCUACCUAUAAGACUGGGAUAACUUCGGGAAACCGGAGCUAAUACCGGAUAAUAUUUUGAACCGCAUGGUUCAAAAGUGAAAGACGGUCUUGCUGUCACUUAUAGAUGGAUCCGCGCUGCAUUAGCUAGUUGGUAAGGUAACGGCUUACCAAGGCAACGAUGCAUAGCCGACCUGAGAGGGUGAUCGGCCACACUGGAACUGAGACACGGUCCAGACUCCUACGGGAGGCAGCAGUAGGGAAUCUUCCGCAAUGGGCGAAAGCCUGACGGAGCAACGCCGCGUGAGUGAUGAAGGUCUUCGGAUCGUAAAACUCUGUUAUUAGGGAAGAACAUAUGUGUAAGUAACUGUGCACAUCUUGACGGUACCUAAUCAGAAAGCCACGGCUAACUACGUGCCAGCAGCCGCGGUAAUACGUAGGUGGCAAGCGUUAUCCGGAAUUAUUGGGCGUAAAGCGCGCGUAGGCGGUUUUUUAAGUCUGAUGUGAAAGCCCACGGCUCAACCGUGGAGGGUCAUUGGAAACUGGAAAACUUGAGUGCAGAAGAGGAAAGUGGAAUUCCAUGUGUAGCGGUGAAAUGCGCAGAGAUAUGGAGGAACACCAGUGGCGAAGGCGACUUUCUGGUCUGUAACUGACGCUGAUGUGCGAAAGCGUGGGGAUCAAACAGGAUUAGAUACCCUGGUAGUCCACGCCGUAAACGAUGAGUGCUAAGUGUUAGGGGGUUUCCGCCCCUUAGUGCUGCAGCUAACGCAUUAAGCACUCCGCCUGGGGAGUACGACCGCAAGGUUGAAACUCAAAGGAAUUGACGGGGACCCGCACAAGCGGUGGAGCAUGUGGUUUAAUUCGAAGCAACGCGAAGAACCUUACCAAAUCUUGACAUCCUUUGACAACUC